RNAcentral lists this ribosomal RNA (465 nucleotides) under uncultured bacterium. RNAcentral's name for it is "partial 16S ribosomal RNA". It matches the Rfam family "Bacterial small subunit ribosomal RNA", at positions 28 to 507 of the family's 1533-position model. The record is from RNAcentral.
GACGAACGCUGGCGGCGUGCUUAACACAUGCAAGUCGAACGGUGAACUCCGCUUGCGGGGGGAUCAGUGGCGAACGGGUGAGUAACACGUGGGCAACCUGCCCUCAGCUCUGGGAUAACUCCAAGAAAUUGGGGCUAAUACCGGAUAUGACCGCUGACCGCAUGGUCUGGUGGUGGAAAGAUUUAUCGGCUGGGGAUGGGCCCGCGGCCUAUCAGCUUGUUGGUGGGGUAGUGGCCUACCAAGGCGACGACGGGUAGCCGGCCUGAGAGGGUGACCGGCCACACUGGGACUGAGAGACGGCCCAGACUCCUACGGGAGGCAGCAGUGGGGAAUAUUGCGCAAUGGGCGAAAGCCUGACGAAGCGGCGCCGCGUGGGGGAUGACGGCCUUCGGGUUGUAAACCUCUUUCAGCAGGGACGAAGCGAAAGUGACGGUACCUGCAGAAGAAGCACCGGCCAACUACGUG